This 119-nucleotide ribosomal RNA is filed under the name Carlito syrichta (Philippine tarsier). Lineage: Eukaryota; Metazoa; Chordata; Mammalia; Primates; Tarsiidae. The record is from RNAcentral.
GUCUAUGACCAUAUCAUCCUGAACAUACCCACUAUCAUCUGAUCUCUGAAGCUAAGCAGGGUCAGACCUGGCUAGUAUUUGGAUGGGAGGACAUGAGGGUAGAGAUAGCUUUUGUGAUG